GACGAACGCUGGCGGCGUGCUUAACACAUGCAAGUCGAACGGAAAGGCCCUGAUUUUGCGGGGUGCUCGAGUGGCGAACGGGUGAGUAACACGCGAGUAACAUGCCCUUGACUUUGGGAUAAAUUCAGGAAAAUGGGGCUAAUACCGGAUAGGAGCUCCUGCUGCACGGUGGGGGUUGGAAAGUUUCGGCGGUUGGGGCUGGAAUAGCGGCUUAUCAGCUUGUUGGUGGGGUAGUGAAUUACCAAGGCUAUGAAGGGUAGCAGGCCUGAGAGGGUGACCGGCCACAAUGGGACUGAGAGACGGCCCAGACUCCUACGGUAGGCAGCAGUGGGGAAUAUUGCACAAUGGGCGGAAGCCUGAUGCAGCAGCGCCGCGUGCGUGAUGACGUCCUUCUGGUUGUGAACCGCUUUCUCCUGUGACGAAGCGUGAGUGACGGUAAUGGAUAAAAAAGCACCGGCUAACUACGUG
RNAcentral lists this ribosomal RNA (468 nucleotides) under uncultured bacterium. RNAcentral describes it as "partial 16S ribosomal RNA". It matches the Rfam family "Bacterial small subunit ribosomal RNA", at positions 28 to 507 of the family's 1533-position model. The record is from RNAcentral.